UGAAGAAUCAAUAAUCGAUUCAAGGCCGGUGUUCGACCUCUCCAAUCUCCGACUGUUUCAUCUCUUCUUCUUUGGAAAGGAGGAAGAAGCCAUGAAGAAAUCAAGUAAUUGAUUGUUGGUGAAUGCUUCCAAUACUCAGGAAAGGUCUGGAUUUGUCGAAUUUGCUACUUGGGAAUUCGUUGAUUGCCAUGUAUGGAAAGAUUGGUUCGUUGGAUUAUGCUUUUGGAGUGUUUUUGACUAUGAAGGCGGCGGUUGUCAUUUCUUGAAACAGUUUGAUUUGGGGUUGUCAUAGAUCAGGGUAUGAAGAAUUGGCCAUACAUCAGUUUGUUGUUAUGUGAGGCACUGAGCAUUCCCCUGAAGAUUUACAAUAUCAAUUGUGAUGAAUGUUUGUUGUAACUUGCUUGAUUUGGAAAGAGGAUACGGUCCGACUUUUUUGAGAACUAAACUGCUGGGAUUCAGCUGUUUGCAAUUCCAUGAUUUUGUGCUAUGCAAGGCAUAAUUGUGUGGAGAAUACUGUGCUGCUUUUUGUGCUGACCUUGACAAAGAAUCUCAGGCCAACUAAGUUUACUCUUAGCAGUGUACCGAGCAGUAUGUCCACUUUUGUUCCAGUUGAGCAGGGUUUUCAAAUCCAAUCUUGGGUUUUAAAGUUAGGCUUCAAGUCAGAUGCUAUUGUCCAUUGUUUACUCAAUCUGUGCACAAAGGGUAGAUAAUUUUGGAGCUUCUGCAAAUUGAAGGAGGAAAAACACAAUAUUACAACAAAUUGAUAGAGGUUGAAGGUAGAGAGCUAGGUUGCUUCUCACUGGUUAGUCAGUACGUCGUUCCUUGCUUAUCCUGGAUAGCGGACGAACCAAUUUUAAGUUGCUGAUAAGCUGCUUCAUCAUGCAGAGCUAAUGUUUAUGAACUUAAGCUCCUGAUCACAUCAGUUUGCUGCAGAAAACUACCUUCCAAAAGCCUUACUUGAAAUCAAGAGCGUGGAUGUGUUUUAAUUAUCAUUGUACAUGAAUUCUUGCAGGGAGCACUGUGUUCUACAUAAUGUUACAAUUCUCUCUGUUCUCUUCAAGGUUGCCCAAAAAAGCCCUCGAUUAUCUACCAAAAUGUUAUUGAUUGCUUUCCCAUAGGAGGCCUGACUUCCUAGAAUUCAAUGGUGCAUAGAUGAUAGUUAUUCAACUAUGGCAUUGGCAUUCAUUUCCUUCACGCUGGAGACCCUGAGAAGCUACCCCAGAUCAACUAAAUUAACCCCAAAGAUAACCACAUGCAUUUCUUUCCAGUUUUGUUGCAGCUGGUCAAUAGUUUCUUUUCUGCUCGGGCGUGCCAGCACAGUUCAGGUGCGGUCGUCGGGGGUGUCCCUUUACUUGACUUCUUUCGAGCGAUUGUGGACAAGGAGAGCACCAACCUCGUCACGGGAUUCUUUGUGCCUCAUGGUGAGGACUUUUGCUAAGUUUCUUUAAGAUUACACAAUCGAUACUCGACGUUGUAGAUCGAGCAGAGCGAAAAUC
Rosa chinensis is the source of this 1496-nucleotide long non-coding RNA. RefSeq lists it as uncharacterized. The transcript has 9 exons. NCBI's taxonomy places the organism in Eukaryota, Viridiplantae, Streptophyta, Magnoliopsida, Rosales, Rosaceae. The record is from RefSeq and is a predicted model, not a curated record.